This 1418-nucleotide ribosomal RNA is filed under the name Enterococcus sp. Its description in RNAcentral is "bacterial SSU rRNA". It matches the Rfam family "Bacterial small subunit ribosomal RNA". Lineage: Bacteria; Bacillati; Bacillota; Bacilli; Lactobacillales; Enterococcaceae. The record is from RNAcentral.
AGUCGUACGCUUCUUUUUCCCCGGAGCUUGCUCCACCGGAAAAAGAAGAGUGGCGAACGGGUGAGUAACACGUGGGUAACCUGCCCAUCAGAAGGGGAUAACACUUGGAAACAGGUGCUAAUACCGUAUAACAAUCGAAACCGCAUGGUUUUGAUUUGAAAGGCGCUUUCGGGUGUCGCUGAUGGAUGGACCCGCGGUGCAUUAGCUAGUUGGUGAGGUAACGGCUCACCAAGGCCACGAUGCAUAGCCGACCUGAGAGGGUGAUCGGCCACAUUGGGACUGAGACACGGCCCAAACUCCUACGGGAGGCAGCAGUAGGGAAUCUUCGGCAAUGGACGAAAGUCUGACCGAGCAACGCCGCGUGAGUGAAGAAGGUUUUCGGAUCGUAAAACUCUGUUGUUAGAGAAGAACAAGGAUGAGAGUAACUGUUCAUCCCUUGACGGUAUCUAACCAGAAAGCCACGGCUAACUACGUGCCAGCAGCCGCGGUAAUACGUAGGUGGCAAGCGUUGUCCGGAUUUAUUGGGCGUAAAGCGAGCGCAGGCGGUUUCUUAAGUCUGAUGUGAAAGCCCCCGGCUCAACCGGGGAGGGUCAUUGGAAACUGGGAGACUUGAGUGCAGAAGAGGAGAGUGGAAUUCCAUGUGUAGCGGUGAAAUGCGUAGAUAUAUGGAGGAACACCAGUGGCGAAGGCGGCUCUCUGGUCUGUAACUGACGCUGAGGCUCGAAAGCGUGGGGAGCAAACAGGAUUAGAUACCCUGGUAGUCCACGCCGUAAACGAUGAGUGCUAAGUGUUGGAGGGUUUCCGCCCUUCAGUGCUGCAGCUAACGCAUUAAGCACUCCGCCUGGGGAGUACGACCGCAAGGUUGAAACUCAAAGGAAUUGACGGGGGCCCGCACAAGCGGUGGAGCAUGUGGUUUAAUUCGAAGCAACGCGAAGAACCUUACCAGGUCUUGACAUCCUUUGACCACUCUAGAGAUAGAGCUUCCCCUUCGGGGGCAAAGUGACAGGUGGUGCAUGGUUGUCGUCAGCUCGUGUCGUGAGAUGUUGGGUUAAGUCCCGCAACGAGCGCAACCCUUAUUGUUAGUUGCCAUCAUUCAGUUGGGCACUCUAGCAAGACUGCCGGUGACAAACCGGAGGAAGGUGGGGAUGACGUCAAAUCAUCAUGCCCCUUAUGACCUGGGCUACACACGUGCUACAAUGGGAAGUACAACGAGUCGCGAAGUCGCGAGGCUAAGCUAAUCUCUUAAAGCUUCUCUCAGUUCGGAUUGUAGGCUGCAACUCGCCUACAUGAAGCCGGAAUCGCUAGUAAUCGCGGAUCAGCACGCCGCGGUGAAUACGUUCCCGGGCCUUGUACACACCGCCCGUCACACCACGAGAGUUUGUAACACCCGAAGUCGGUGAGGUAACCUUUGGAGCCAG